RNAcentral lists this ribosomal RNA (608 nucleotides) under uncultured bacterium. RNAcentral's name for it is "bacterial SSU rRNA". It matches the Rfam family "Bacterial small subunit ribosomal RNA", at positions 773 to 1381 of the family's 1533-position model. The record is from RNAcentral.
CAGGAUUAGAUACCCUGGUAGUNCACGCCGUAAACGAUGAGUGCUAGGUGUUAGGCCCUUUCCGGGGCUUAGUGCCGGAGCUAACGCAAUAAGCACUCCGCCUGGGGAGUACGACCGUAAGGUUGAAACUCAAAGGAAUUGACGGGGGCCCGCACAAGCGGUGGAGCAUGUGGUUUAAUUCGAAGCAACGCGAAGAACCUUACCAGGUCUUGACAUCCCGAUGCUAUUCUUAGAGAUAGGAAGUUACUUCGGUACAUCGGAGACAGGUGGUGCAUGGUUGUCGUCAGCUCGUGUCGUGAGAUGUUGGGUUNNNNNNCGCAACGAGCGCAACCCUUAUUGUUAGUUGCCAUCAUUAAGUUGGGCACUCUAGCGAGACUGCCGGUAAUAAACCGGAGGAAGGUGGGGAUGACGUCAAAUCAUCAUGCCCCUUAUGACCUGGGCUACACGCGUGCUACAAUGGUCGGUACAACGAGUUGCGAGCCGGUGACGGCAAGCUAAUCUCUGAAAGCCGAUCUCAGUUCGGAUUGGAGGCUGCAACUCGCCUCCAUGAAGUCGGAAUCGCUAGUAAUCGCGGAUCAGCACGCCGCGGUGAAUACGUUCCCGGGCCU